GCAGCACAGCACGUGCGAAUUUCUGAUUGGACUGCUGCAGCAAAGACUCGCGCGCUAGAGUGACGCGAUGAUGAACAACGCUUGUAAGAAAACAACACAUCCGGAUUAUAGUUUAAUUUAUAAUUUUGAGGAAAACCCACUAGAACCAUGUGCAUACAACGAAUAAAUCGACCUAAUCAGACAUUCCACCAUGAGACUGAACUCCAGUCCGCUGAAGUGUAAUACUGGAAAUAAAUGCACACAGGAGUAUGGCCAGCUCAACCACAAACUGGAUUUGAGCUUAUGAGAUCAUAAAGCCCGAGGUCACAGGUCAUCCCACUGUUUAUUCUACCCACAACGGGGAACGAUGGCGCCAUCAUGAAAGAAAACUGCUUUAGGAACUUAAAGGAAUGAAUGAACCAGGAAUGAAGUCGUAUUGUUGCUCCAGGCUACAGUCUCCCUUCAUAGUCCUCAACCAGAUGAUCAAAAAGGCCGUGAUUUGUCUAUCCCAGGUCCCAGAGAUCUACAUUCUUAGAUUUAUUGUGUGCAGCAACUUCGCCUAGAGGAGUCAAGUUUUCCCUGGUGAAAUGCAGCGAGAGGACAAGACGGCAGUGCAAAUUCCCUGGAUAGGGUUGCAGAGGCGACAUAAAAGAGCCUUAGAUCUGGUAGCGGGGUUAUUAUGGGCUGUGAAUCGGAAUCAAAAGGCCAUUUUAAAGCUGUCACAUGACCCCCAGGGCCAUGUCGCCACAUCGCGUCGAAGACAUUUCCUUCCAGCAUCUUCCCUAGAGACAAGUCAAACAAGACCUCACCCAGACACACUGAGAAUCUUAGACAUUGGGGACGAGCGAUGCAGACAGACAAGCAGAGCCUCGAUGCUAGUUUAGUUUAAAUGAAGAGAAUGCUAAAAAUGACUUCCUCUUGAAGCCGUUUGAUGUGACUAGUAAUGGAGUAGUUCUCAGAUCUCACGACAUUCUGUUGCUGUAAUGGACCCCAUUUUUGUAAUCACUACAUUAAGUAGCUCAAUGGCACAUUUACAUGUCAGGAUUUGCAUACGCACGAUUGGAUUUACAUAGAUAACUGUGGAUAAGUGGUCGAGGGUCACUUAUUCCUCACAUCAGGUUCUGACAAGGCUGUUAAACCAACGUGUCCCCCCCUUGAAAGUGAGAUGUAGAUUUAUAAAGCCUUGUUAUCUUAGACUUGUGUUCGUUCAUUUAAAUGCACCAUGAGGGAAUGGUGCUUUUUAAUAAACACUAGGCACCUAGGGUUUGUUUUGCUGUCAGAAACAGAUAUGCAUCUUGUUCAAAGAGACAUAAUGUUUUCUUUGGUCCUGUGCCAUGGAAAACAACCAUUUAACACCAAACUAUUAUCAGUAUCUUCUGCACUAAAUUAAAGGUAAACAAUAUUGGCUAUUAACUUUUUUUUAUUUAUACCUUAUGCUAAUUUGCAUGAAUAAACAAAUGUUGUGUUUCA
RNAcentral lists this long non-coding RNA (1449 nucleotides) under Danio rerio (zebrafish). Its description in RNAcentral is "si:ch73-77n15.1 (ENSDARG00000092800.4)". Lineage: Eukaryota; Metazoa; Chordata; Actinopteri; Cypriniformes; Danionidae. The record is from RNAcentral.